CCUACGGGAUGCAGCAGUGAGGAAUAUUGGUCAAUGGGCGCAAGCCUGAACCAGCCAAGUCGCGUGAGGGAUGACGGUCCUAUGGAUUGUAAACCUCUUUUGUCGGGGAGCAAGGCCCGCCACGUGUGGCGGGAAGGAGAGUACCCGAAGAAAAAGCAUCGGCUAACUCCGUGCCAGCAGCCGCGGUCAUACGGAGGAUGCGAGCGUUAUCCGGAUUUAUUGGGUUUAAAGGGUGCGUAGGCGGAAGGUUGAGUCAGCGGUAAAAUGUCGGUGCUCAACACCGGCCUGCCGUUGAAACUGGUCUUCUUGAGGGGGCGAGAAGUAUGCGGAAUGCGUGGUGUAGCGGUGAAAUGCAUAGAUAUCACGCAGAACUCCGAUUGCGAAGGCAGCAUACCGGCGCCCGACUGACGCUGAGGCACGAAAGCGUGGGGAUCGAACAGGAUUAGAUACCCCAGUAGUC
This 460-nucleotide ribosomal RNA is filed under the name uncultured bacterium. Its description in RNAcentral is "partial 16S ribosomal RNA". It matches the Rfam family "Bacterial small subunit ribosomal RNA", at positions 338 to 795 of the family's 1533-position model. The record is from RNAcentral.